AUUUCACUUACUGUAUUGAACUGCUAGUAGGCGUCAUUCGAUACCAAAGCCGAUUGAAGCCUCAAUGAACUGAAAAUAUAAAUAAAACAAGCAAAGAAGAAGAAUCAGUUUACACUACUGAACUUUUUUUUUAUAAAUAGUUUACACUACUGAACUUAACCAAUAAAGAAAAACGACAGCCUCCAAGAAGCCUUGCAUACUGUUCUCAAAAGUAGAUCAUAUGAUGAAACUGGUAACUUGAAAAGUUCCCAGUUCAAAAAUUCAACCAUAAAUGAAAGCCUUUUACAAGAACAAUAUUUCAAACAAAGUUUUCAACGGACUGGACAAUAGCAUCUGUAAUGUCUCAUCGGACUGGACCAAAAUUGCAUCAAAUACAUACGUAGCCAUCUCUGAAGAACCUUAGACAACAGUUCAACAGCAACGAUGGAUGUUCAAUUGACCAGACUCGCUAACAGAAAAUACCUAGGGCAAUGCUUAGCUCCCGGAUACAAAGCAGUGACCUGAAAACCAAACUCACCGGAGUUGGCUCGUGGAGGCUACAGUAGCUGAUUCUGGCGUCUGAGUGAAGCUGCUCGGCGGAGCUACCGAGGCCGGCGAAUGAAAUUUGCGCUCAGGCGAGAGAGUCCGAAGCUGAAUCCGGGUAGUCGUGAAUACGACGAGUUGAAAUCUCAAUUGGGAGGUGAAUUCAAAAUCAAAAUUCACGGCCGCCUGAAGAGUUAAUGGUGUCGCCGUCGUAAUUGGGUUUAGGCUUGUUUCUUGCUUGAGCGGUGGUGGUUCGACG
RNAcentral lists this long non-coding RNA (781 nucleotides) under Linum usitatissimum (flax). RNAcentral describes it as "long non-coding RNA (LUSI_LNC004072)". Lineage: Eukaryota; Viridiplantae; Streptophyta; Magnoliopsida; Malpighiales; Linaceae. The record is from RNAcentral.